CUAUCUUCCCUUCUCCUCUCUUAAUUUUUUUCUGUCCUCUCCAUACAUACAUACAUAUAUAUAUGUGUGUGUGUGUGUGUAUAACAACAGACUUAAAAAUAGU
RNAcentral lists this microRNA precursor (103 nucleotides) under Erinaceus europaeus (western European hedgehog). RNAcentral describes it as "miRNA (ENSEEUG00000019475.1)". Lineage: Eukaryota; Metazoa; Chordata; Mammalia; Eulipotyphla; Erinaceidae. The record is from RNAcentral.